GAGUGGGAUUACUCGAGUGGAGAGGCGGCUCAGUGGAGCAACGCGAGCCCAAUCCGAACUUGGAUAGCCGUCCGCAUGGAAAGUGGUUUCGAAAGGCGCUCGUCUUCGUUAUGAUAUUCUUGGCCUGGGUCAAGGUGGCGCAUGCCAGAGAUCCUCCCCUAAGUGCCUCGUGGAGCCGAUCCCUUCCUCGCUUCCUAGCCACCGUUUAGGGGGAUCAGGGGCCACUCGACCCCACUCCAUUGAGCGCGUGUUCGCAUUUAUCUCUGGGCAUCUGCAAGCGUUUGGGGUGACGUCAGCCCAGCCAUAGGUGCUACUUACAAAGGCGUAAUAGGUACAUCAACUAAUGGCCGUAAUACUUUCAUGCUUCAUUUCUGCGGUUGGCGCAACUAAUGGCUUCCGCAUGAUAUUUUUGCUUGAGUGUCAAACGUGCAGAGCCAAAGAUCGAUGCUCCCAUUUGCCACCCUUUUCUUGGAUAUUCCCUACUUUCUUGGGAGGUGAGCG
Drosophila biarmipes is the source of this 501-nucleotide long non-coding RNA. RefSeq lists it as uncharacterized. The transcript has 3 exons. The record is from RefSeq and is a predicted model, not a curated record. Lineage: Eukaryota; Metazoa; Arthropoda; Insecta; Diptera; Drosophilidae.